Molecule: ribosomal RNA, 254 nt
Filed under: uncultured bacterium
Lineage: Bacteria
Description: partial 16S ribosomal RNA
Rfam family: Bacterial small subunit ribosomal RNA
Source: RNAcentral
UACGUAGGCAGCAAGCGUUGUUCGGAGUUACUGGGCGUAAAGAGUAUGUAGGCGGUUGCGUAAGUUCGGUGUGAAAUCUCCCGGCUUAACUGGGAGGGUGCGCCGAAAACUGCGUGGCUUGAGUGCGGGAGAGGAGAGCGGAAUUCCUGGUGUAGCGGUGAAAUGCGUAGAUAUCAGGAGGAACACCGGCGGUGUAGGCGGCUCGUCUGGACCGUAACUGACGCUGAGGAGCGAAAGCGUGGGGAGCGAACGGG